UGGACUUGGACUUGAGGCUGUUCAGCAGUGU
RNAcentral lists this non-coding RNA (31 nucleotides) under Rattus norvegicus (Norway rat). Lineage: Eukaryota; Metazoa; Chordata; Mammalia; Rodentia; Muridae. The record is from RNAcentral.